AAUCGUUCGCCAAGCAGUUACGCUCAUCCAGUAGGAACCCCUUGACAGAGGGCUACACACGGCCCUGGACGUAUGGUUGCCGAGGCAACGCGCGCCGGGUGGGCGGGAGCAGCGGCGGAAGGAGGCGCGCGGGCGGGGACGGAGGUGAGGCUGGCGGCGGAAGUGAGCCCUCCGCCGCUGCGAGCCUGGGCAUGAUGCUGCGUCGCGUGUGGCCGUGGCUGUGCUUCGGCCUGGGCAGCCUCCUGGCCGGGCAGGCGGAGGCCCCGAGCCCGGUGGAGCCGCCGGAGCGGAGCCGGCCGUACGCCGUGCUGCGUGGGCAAAACCUGGUGUUGAUGGGAACCGUUUUCAGCAUCCUGCUGGUGACCGUGAUCCUGUUGGCAUUUUGUGUCUAUAAGCCCAUUCGGCGUCGGUGACAGCCGAGCAAACCAGUCCUUCGACGAGUAUUUGGGAAAAGAGUAAAUUGUGUUGCACGUGGGUCACUGGAGAAGUCGGAAUCAGAAGCUUCCUGCUUGGAGAUGACCUUCGGUCGGGACAGUGGGUAAAUGUGAAAUGACUUAGAAAAAACAACUGGCAGUUAUUUUUUUUCCCUAACACUGUAAUGCACUGCAAUAAUUGGGUCUGCUGCUCAGUGUUUAUUUGUAUAUCUGGCUGCACUCACACUUGUGACGAGGAAGACCUGAAGCUCCAGGUUUCAGUGUGAAGACGGGAAGACAGUAACUAUGUGAGCAGUGUAAACCACACGGGGAAUGACGAAUGUUUGAAAAUACUCAUGAGAAGUAGACUUAACAUGUAGACAUUCCCUGCUUAAGAACCAUCUGGUCACAGCGGGGUUAAGAAUCACAUAUGUUUUUAAUAACACCGAGCUGGCCUAGAAUGUUCUGGUCCCAAAGCAGUGUGAGCUGUGGGGAACGUAGGCCGUCACUCCCCUGCUGCUGCAUCCGGCCAUGCACUCAGAUGCCCCCGUCCGGGUCAGGGUCACAUCACGUAGGCCCGUGACCGCGUGCACCCUGCGGCUGGGAGGCUCGGAGUCGGACUGGGAAGGUUGCUGGCCGGCCUGAAAGAGCUCCGUCCGCCCCGCGCACUGAUCUCCCUCGGGCUGCACUUACGUCCUUCUAGGUGGUGGCCUAAAACUUGUGGCAGCUUUUCAGAUUUGGAACCUAGAAGAAACUCAGCAGGACAUUGUCUUCGCCCCGGUGAGGAGGUCCUCCACCACCAGAAGCGCGUGUUCAUUGUAGGAGGCAGAGUGGCCGGUGUGUGUGUGUUUGCACAAAUCUUAACCUCGAAAACGCUGCUGUUUUGCACUGUUAAACUGGAUUUUCCCCCCAUUGAAAUGAUACUUGUAUACUCACAAAGUGGUUAUCAGUAUUUAUUUUAAGGGUGCUAAGUUUAAUUUUUGUUAUUAAACUGAAAUGCUUAUCUUCUACUUCGUUCAGUCACAGCACUGAUUUUUUUUUAACAAUCCGCACUAAACGUGAAAUAACUACUGUGGGGUACUGUAACUGUUCGACUUAAGGAUUCUGUUUGUGACACUGACAUUGAGCCAUUGAAAUGUUCACUGUUGUGUGCUUUUGAGCAAAGUGUCAAUUAAAAGUAAAACCUCGUA
Long non-coding RNA from Suricata suricatta (meerkat), 1603 nucleotides. RefSeq lists it as uncharacterized. NCBI's taxonomy places the organism in Eukaryota, Metazoa, Chordata, Mammalia, Carnivora, Herpestidae. The record is from RefSeq and is a predicted model, not a curated record. The transcript is spliced from 2 exons.